Molecule: ribosomal RNA, 1005 nt
Filed under: Acinetobacter lwoffii
Lineage: Bacteria; Pseudomonadati; Pseudomonadota; Gammaproteobacteria; Moraxellales; Moraxellaceae
Description: bacterial SSU rRNA
Rfam family: Bacterial small subunit ribosomal RNA
Source: RNAcentral
AUGCAGUCGAGCGGGGAGAGUAGCUUGCUACUUGACCUAGCGGCGGACGGGUGAGUAAUGCUUAGGAAUCUGCCUAUUAGUGGGGGACAACAUCUCGAAAGGGAUGCUAAUACCGCAUACGUCCUACGGGAGAAAGCAGGGGACCUUCGGGCCUUGCGCUAAUAGAUGAGCCUAAGUCGGAUUAGCUAGUUGGUGGGGUAAAGGCCUACCAAGGCGACGAUCUGUAGCGGGUCUGAGAGGAUGAUCCGCCACACUGGGACUGAGACACGGCCCAGACUCCUACGGGAGGCAGCAGUGGGGAAUAUUGGACAAUGGGGGGAACCCUGAUCCAGCCAUGCCGCGUGUGUGAAGAAGGCCUUUUGGUUGUAAAGCACUUUAAGCGAGGAGGAGGCUACCGAGAUUAAUACUCUUGGAUAGUGGACGUUACUCGCAGAAUAAGCACCGGCUAACUCUGUGCCAGCAGCCGCGGUAAUACAGAGGGUGCAAGCGUUAAUCGGAUUUACUGGGCGUAAAGCGCGCGUAGGUGGCCAAUUAAGUCAAAUGUGAAAUCCCCGAGCUUAACUUGGGAAUUGCAUUCGAUACUGGUUGGCUAGAGUAUGGGAGAGGAUGGUAGAAUUCCAGGUGUAGCGGUGAAAUGCGUAGAGAUCUGGAGGAAUACCGAUGGCGAAGGCAGCCAUCUGGCCUAAUACUGACACUGAGGUGCGAAAGCAUGGGGAGCAAACAGGAUUAGAUACCCUGGUAGUCCAUGCCGUAAACGAUGUCUACUAGCCGUUGGGGCCUUUGAGGCUUUAGUGGCGCAGCUAACGCGAUAAGUAGACCGCCUGGGGAGUACGGUCGCAAGACUAAAACUCAAAUGAAUUGACGGGGGCCCGCACAAGCGGUGGAGCAUGUGGUUUAAUUCGAUGCAACGCGAAGAACCUUACCUGGUCUUGACAUAGNAAGAACUUUCCAGAAAUGGAUUGGUGCCUUCGGGAACUUACAUACAGGUUGCUGCAUGGCUGUCGU